GACGAACGCUGGCGGCGUGCUUAACACAUGCAAGUCGAACGGAAAGGCCUCUUUCGGGGGGUACUCGAGUGGCGAACGGGUGAGUAACACGUGAGUAACCUGCCCUUGACUUUGGGAUAACUUCAGGAAACUGGGGCUAAUACCGGAUAGGAGCUCCUGCUGCAUGGUGGGGGUUGGAAAGUUUCGGCGGUUGGGGAUGGACUCGCGGCUUAUCAGCUUGUUGGUGGGGUAGUGGCUUACCAAGGCUUUGACGGGUAGCCGGCCUGAGAGGGUGACCGGCCACAUUGGGACUGAGAGACGGCCCAGACUCCUACGGGGGGCAGCAGUGGGGAAUAUUGCACAAUGGGUGGAAGGCUGAUGCAGCAACGCCGUGUGCGGGAUGACGGCCUUCGGGUUGGAAACCGCUUUCGCUCAUGACGAAGCUUUGUGUGACGGUAGUGGGUAAAGAAGCACCGGCUAACUACGUG
Molecule: ribosomal RNA, 467 nt
Filed under: uncultured bacterium
Lineage: Bacteria
Description: partial 16S ribosomal RNA
Rfam family: Bacterial small subunit ribosomal RNA
Source: RNAcentral